UAUAGGUUUGGUCCUGGCCUUUCUGUUAGUUAUCUGUAAACUUACACAUGCAAGAAUCCUCACCCCAGUGAAAAUGCCCUCCACACCAAACAAUGGUCGAAAGGAGCUGGUAUCAAGCACACUAACAAGUAGCUUACGACACCUUGCUCAGCCACACCCCCACGGGACACAGCAGUGAUAAAAAUUAAGCAAUAAACGAAAGUCUGACUAAGUUAUACUAUUAAGGACUGGUAAAUCUCGUGCCAGCCACCGCGGUCAUACGAUUAGGCCAAACUAAUGGAUACUCGGCGUAAAGCGUGUUCUAGAAAUUAAAUAAUAAAUAAAAUCAAACUUUAACUAAGCCGUAAAAAGCUUUAGAUACUGUAAGAUACAUAACGAAGGUAAUUUUAAAAAUUCUGACUACACGAUAGCUAAGACCCAAACUGGGAUUAGAUACCCCACUAUGCCUAGCUUUAAACAUAAAAAAUUAUAAACAAAAUUAUUCGCCAGAGUACUACUAGCAAUAGCUUAAAACUCAAAGGACUUGGCGGUGCCUUAUAUCCCUCUAGAGGAGCCUGUUCUAUAAUCGAUAAACCCCGAUCUACCUCACCAAUCUUUGCUAAAUCAGCCUAUAUACCGCCAUCUUCAGCAAACCCUAAAAAGGAAAUAAAGUAAGCAUAAGUAUAAGCAUAAGAACGUUAGGUCAAGGUGUAGCUCAUAGAUUGGAAAGAAAUGGGCUACAUUCCCCGAAUCGAGGAACUAAAAUUUAUACGAAAACCUAUGUGAAACCAAAAGUUAAAGAUGGAUUUAGCAGUAAACUAAGAAUAGAGUGCUUAGUUGAAUACGGCCAUAAGGCACGCACACACCGCCCGUCACCCUCCUCAAGUGAAUAAUAUUAUAAAUCAUAAAUAAUGUAGAAUUAUUGACCCAUGAGAGGAGAUAAGUCGUAACAAGGUAAGUGUACUGGAAAGUGCACUUGGAUAACA
This 965-nucleotide non-coding RNA is filed under the name Myotis albescens. Its description in RNAcentral is "12S ribosomal RNA". It matches the Rfam family "Bacterial small subunit ribosomal RNA". The record is from RNAcentral. Lineage: Eukaryota; Metazoa; Chordata; Mammalia; Chiroptera; Vespertilionidae.